UACGUAGGCGGCAAGCGUUAUCCGGAUUUACUGGGUGUAAAGGGAGCGUAGACGGCGAUGCAAGCCAGAUGUGAAAGCCCGGGGCUCAACCCCGGGACUGCAUUUGGAACUGUGUGGCUGGAGUGUCGGAGAGGCAAGUGGAAUUCCUAGUGUAGCGGUGAAAUGCGUAGAUAUUAGGAGGAACACCAGUGGCGAAGGCGGCUUGCUGGACGAUGACUGACGUUGAGGCUCGAAAGCGUGGGGAGCAAACAGG
RNAcentral lists this ribosomal RNA (253 nucleotides) under uncultured bacterium. RNAcentral describes it as "partial 16S ribosomal RNA". It matches the Rfam family "Bacterial small subunit ribosomal RNA", at positions 524 to 776 of the family's 1533-position model. The record is from RNAcentral.